Sinocyclocheilus rhinocerous is the source of this 235-nucleotide long non-coding RNA. RefSeq lists it as uncharacterized. NCBI's taxonomy places the organism in Eukaryota, Metazoa, Chordata, Actinopteri, Cypriniformes, Cyprinidae. The transcript has 3 exons. The record is from RefSeq and is a predicted model, not a curated record.
CGAUGAUUGGUUGGCACUUCAUGUUUACGGUGAGGUGAACGUUGUAAGGGCAUUGAAGGAUCUGAGCAUUGUCACUGAGAAAUAACGAUGAUUUUUAAUAAGGUUUUGAGGGCAGGUUUUCAGGCUGGACGCAGGUUUCAGAGUACGGGCCCUCAAGCAAGUGCCAGAGCAGCUGCCUUGAGAGAAGCUCAUGGAGGCUUCAGCUUUGAACUAACUGACCAGCAGAAAGAGUUCC